GAUGAACGCUGGCGGCGUGCUUAACACAUGCAAGUCGAACGAGGCACCUUGAUUUGAUUCUUCGGAUGAAGAUCUUGGUGACUGAGUGGCGGACGGGUGAGUAACGCGUGGGUAACCUGCCUCAUACAGGGGGAUAACAGUUAGAAAUGACUGCUAAUACCGCAUAAGACCACAGCACAGCAUGGUGCAGGGGUAAAAACUCCGGUGGUAUGAGAUGGACCCGCGUCUGAUUAGGUAGUUGGUGGGGUAACGGCCUACCAAGCCAACGAUCAGUAGCCGACCUGAGAGGGUGACCGGCCACAUUGGGACUGAGACACAGCCCAAGCUCCUACGGGAGGCAGCAGUGGGGAAUACUGCACAAUGGGGGAAACCCUGAUGCAGCGACGCCGCGUGAGCGAUGAAGUAGUUCGGUAUGUAAAGCGCUAUCAGCAGGGAAGAAAAUGACGGUACCUGACUAAGAAGCACCGGCUAAAUACGUGCCAGCCGCCGCUGUAA
Molecule: ribosomal RNA, 495 nt
Filed under: uncultured bacterium
Lineage: Bacteria
Description: partial 16S ribosomal RNA
Rfam family: Bacterial small subunit ribosomal RNA
Source: RNAcentral